RNAcentral lists this non-coding RNA (30 nucleotides) under Mus musculus (house mouse). The record is from RNAcentral. Lineage: Eukaryota; Metazoa; Chordata; Mammalia; Rodentia; Muridae.
UGGGAGUCUAGGACAAGCAGACCAUGAUGU